UACGAAGGGUGCAAGCGUUACUCGGAAUUACUGGGCGUAAAGCGUAUGCAGGCGGAUCGUUAAGUCGGGGGUGAAAUCCCGAGGCUCAACCUCGGAACUGCCUUCGAUACUGGCGAUCUUGAGUCCGGGAGAGGUGAGUGGAACUCCGAGUGUAGAGGUGAAAUUCGUAGAUAUUCGGAAGAACACCAGUGGCGAAGGCGGCUCACUGGCCCGGUACUGACGCUGAGAUACGAAAGCGUGGGGAGCAAACAGG
This 253-nucleotide ribosomal RNA is filed under the name uncultured bacterium. Its description in RNAcentral is "partial 16S ribosomal RNA". It matches the Rfam family "Bacterial small subunit ribosomal RNA", at positions 524 to 776 of the family's 1533-position model. The record is from RNAcentral.